CGAGUGCCUCAAGCGUUAUCCGGAAUUAUUGGGCGUAAAGGGGUGCGCAGACUGUCGCGUUAGUCUCAUGUUAAAGCCUACGGCUCAACCGUAGAAUCGCAUGGGAAACGGCGCGACUUGAGCAUGUGAGGGGUCUAGGGAACUCUAGGUGUAGGGGUGAAAUCCGUUGAUAUCUAGGGGAACACCAAAAGCGAAGGCACUAGACUGGCACAUUUCUGACGUUCAUGCACGAAAGCGUGGGUAGCGAAUGGGAUUAGAUACCCCAGUAGUCCACGCCCUAAACGAUGAUCAUUUGCUAUGGGGAGUAUCGACCCUCUCCGUGGCGGAGCUAACGCGUUAAAUGAUCCGCCUGGGUAUUACGGCCGCAAGGCUA
This 373-nucleotide ribosomal RNA is filed under the name uncultured organism. RNAcentral describes it as "bacterial SSU rRNA". It matches the Rfam family "Bacterial small subunit ribosomal RNA", at positions 526 to 896 of the family's 1533-position model. The record is from RNAcentral.